GGACUGGACUCAGUGGCCAAACAGAUGUUACCUUAGAGGUCCUGAGUUAAUAAAGAAACAUCACUUCUAGGAUAUAUGGAGGCACCUAUGGCCACAACUCCUAGCUUUACCCUGACCUCGGUGGACCCUGUGAAAGAGUUAGUUCCAUUAAUCCUUUCUUCUUGAUGCAUUUCCCCAAUUAGCUUCUUUUGUUUCUAUUUGCUUAUUGUCAAGGUCUUUUGUACCAAUGUUUUGCUACAGGUUAUCUGCUACAAGUUUUCACUCAACUGUCUUGGCAGUAACUUAAAACUUUAAAAAAUAACUUUUGGCCUUGCUAUAUACUAAAAUGCUCAUUACUUACUUACCACUACCUAACAAUUCUGGUCUGACUUGGUUUUCAGUCAGAGUUAGCCCUUCAAAGAGUAGGGCAUAAGGCACUUUCUAUGCCCACCCACACUGGUAAAACCUCUUUUGAGUUUCCAAAACUUUUUCUUCCUGCUUUAGUUUAUCACAGGAUUUAGUCAUUUUAGAAAGAGCUUGCUUUAAAAUUUAAAACAUUUCCCAUUGUAUCAGAAUUUUAAAAAGCUGGUCAGAAAUUUAUGUAUGUUUUUUCCAUUUGUCUUACCUGAGGACUCCAGAUCAGCACACAAGAAAACCUAUUUGGAAAUAUUAAAUAGUCCACAUCUAUUAAGCAAGUGGAGACACCAUAAUCAUCAAACAUAAAACUAGUUGGAGUGCUAGAUGGGAGAUGGGGUUUUUCUCUAAACACUAUCUCCUCCCUUGAAUAGUGGCCGUGCCUCUUCUUAUAUUUUGGACUAAAAGGGACAAGGUUGCAAUGAUCAGAAGAAAGAAGCAAAAAAGCAAAAAGGCAGAUUUACACAAUGGGAUUGCAGAAGAAAAGACCAAAUGCUAGCAAAUAGUGUUCUAACAAAGAUUCUGAAACAAAGGAUAUCCAAAUUAACCAGCUCAAAAUAAAGACGAAC
This 962-nucleotide long non-coding RNA is filed under the name Marmota monax (woodchuck). Lineage: Eukaryota; Metazoa; Chordata; Mammalia; Rodentia; Sciuridae. The record is from RNAcentral.